CUCCCGGAAACCUGGGUGCUUCAUGUGACCUCACUACUGGGCAUUGGAUGGGCUUCUGCCUCCCCUUCUCCCCGGAUGAGAGCUGUGGGUUGUCAUAUGACCAAGGCAUCCGGAGAUGCAAGGCCCAUGUAGAGAAAACAGGAUAAAGUAGCAUCCCAAGAACCAAUUUUGAUUCCCAUAAUUGCAUCAGCAGCCCCAAGCCUUCCCACAAUACAAUAAUACAUAGAAUAAAACUUCAUAAUAAUUUCAGAUAAGACAGUGUUGGCGGCCAUCUUCCAUGUAGCUUCUCUUCUGACUUCAAUCGGGGCUUGACCACUUCCUAUUGUGUGCAUUUGGGCAAACUGCUUAACCUCUCUGCUGGUUUCCUCCUCUGCAGAUGGGUGCCAUAUUGGUGCCUAUCUCACAGGUUCAUUGUGCAGGUGAAGUCGGCUUGACAAGUGUAAAUCACUGAGAACACUGCCCCUAAAUAUUACCUGUGAAUAUGCAUGAAAACCCCUCUUUGCAGAUCUCCCAGUGGAGGGACAGUUUGGGGAAGUGGUCAGGACAACCCUGCCACCUAGCCCUGGGCCUUACAACUCUCAUGCAGACCUGGGCAGAGCAGAAGAGAGGACAGGACAAGGGGCUUUUCAGGGGCGCUCUAUGAUGGGAAGCUGACAAACAGCAGUGAUUAGCAAACCAGCCCGUGAUGUCACAAAGGGCCCAGGAGCAGAAGGAAGCAGGAUGUCAAGGUCUGGAUGUCAGGAUGCAAAUGUAUGUGAGAACUCAGAAAUGGGAGGGGGUCACUGACCCGUGCCACAAGGAUUUCCGGAGCCCCUUCUGUGAGACAUGCUCUGCUGAGGUGCUGGGGAUAGCACAACGAACCAGGCUGAGAGUCCCUGCUCUCACACAGCCUGUGUUCUACUAGGGGAGAGAACACCCAUAAGAAACUCAGUCAGGCUGGGCACAGCGCCUCCUUCAUGCCUUUAAUCUCAACACUUUGGGAAGCCAAGGUGGGAGGAUUACUUAAGCUCAGCCUGGGCAGCAUAGUGAGACCCCAUCUCUACAAAAAAUUUUAAAUUAGCCAGCCAUGGUGGUGCAUGCCUAUAGUCCCAGCUCCUCAGGAGGCUGAGGUCGGAGGAUCUCUUAACUCCAGGAGGUCAACUAAUGAGCCAAAAUCAUGCCACUGCACUCCAGCCUGAGCAACAGACAAAGACCCUGUCUCAAACAACAUCAACAAACCAGGAACUCAAUCAUUUCCAACUGUGUGAAGGGCCAAGAGGAAAAUAUUCAGGGUGAGAAAACCUUUAAGGAAGGCAUCACACCCACAUCUUCUAGCGUGGGAUCAGAAAAGCAAGUGGGCCCUGGUCCUCCCGACGUUCACAACCCUUACCUCUCAGGAUCUUCUAAGAUGGGACGUCACAUACAGGAGGGGACUACACACAGAAGGCAGCCAAGAAAUGGACGAAAAAGUUUCGAGUAUUUUUUUAAGCACUAAAUGGUUAUGGUAAAAUAUUAUUUUGGAGGAAGUGUAGGGGGAGGCGAGGGGAAAAAAGGUUUUUUGUGUAACAUCAACAAGUAUAAAGUGAAAUUUAGGGUUUCUCAUCAUCCUUGGCUUCUUGUAGCCUCCUCAGAUAUAACUAAUAUUAUCAGAUUUUUCCAGAGAUAAUUCAUACAUAUAUAGCAUAUAUCUAGAUAUUGUCAUAUAUAACACACUAUGAUAUUAAUAAAAUAUCUAAAAUAUUUAUAAUAAUAUCAAGUGUUAACACACAGUGUUACCACACUAUGAUGUUAACAAAUAUCUAUGAUAUUUAUAAUAUCUAGUGUUAACACAAUGUGAUAUUAGUAAACUAACACAGCUACAAAUUCUAGUGUUAACACACUG
This 1861-nucleotide long non-coding RNA is filed under the name Homo sapiens (human). Its description in RNAcentral is "HSALNT0384502". Lineage: Eukaryota; Metazoa; Chordata; Mammalia; Primates; Hominidae. The record is from RNAcentral.